This 1245-nucleotide long non-coding RNA is filed under the name Coturnix japonica (Japanese quail). RNAcentral describes it as "lncRNA (ENSCJPG00005021486.1)". Lineage: Eukaryota; Metazoa; Chordata; Aves; Galliformes; Phasianidae. The record is from RNAcentral.
AUGUGUUUAUUGUGGUCACCAGUGGGGGGCAUUCACCUGCUUAAACAGCCAGGAAACCUUUGGGUUACAUGGGCUAAUCAGACGGGGAAUAUGCAUUUUUGCCUUGCUUUACAAUCAGCUGCCUCACCCUUUCAAACGUGCCUUAUUGGGAUUCCGGAAUGGGAUGACUCGGUGUUUAUGGGAUAUCUUGGGAAGGGCCCGCCUUAUUACCGGGAUCACCGUUGUUACCGUGACUGUAUGAACUUGAAAUCUACCUUAAGGGCGUUAGGAAAUGAUACCAUGGAUUAUUUGGGAAAAAGGAUGGCAUGUAUUAUCUGUAGGUUAAAUGUCACUCUUCCAGGGGACCCCGAGGAAGUGGAGUUGCUUGGCUCUCAGGCAGUGCAGAAUGACACUUGGGACACCAAUAGUUUGCAGUGGCUGAGCCCUAGAUGCUUAUUUUUUGGCACACAAAGGAAACCUCUAGAUAUGCUGCAAUUCCUGGGGCAUGGAGGCCCUUAUUGGGAUCACAAAACUGACCAAUCUGCUCCAUUUACUCUUGUAUAUCCCCGGAAUAGCCGGACCUUUAACGGAGAUGGGGAAUAUUGCGGUUUCACUCCUAAUGUAACAAGGGCAUACAGUCCACUGAAUCCAUUGAAUGGGUCCUGGGUUCCACCAGCAACGACUUUUAAUGUUAGCAGACCGGAUGGAUCGGUUAGAGAGGUAUAUUGUGGGAAUUAUUCCAGGUACAAUGGCUGCGUCAUUGCCUCCUUUCCCAAAGGCUCAGGCAUAAAUGCAAUUUCCGUCUGGAAUAAUAAUACCGCUAAAGCCUUACCCCCAGGAAUUUUCCUUAUCUGUGGGGAUCGCGCUUGGCAAGGGAUUCCAAGAAAUGCAAUAGGGGGACCCUGUUAUCUAGGAAGGUUAACUAUUUUAUCACCCAACAUUACGGAGGUAUAUAAGGCACUCAAUCACACUCGACCUAAGAGAGGAAUUCACGCCUUGGAUUCUGAAUGUGGCGAUGAUGUUAAAUUGUGGGGACCCACGGCAAGGAUCUUUGCUUCGUUCCUUGCCCCUGGGGUAGCGGCUGCACAUGCUUUGAAGGAAAUUGAAAGAUUGGCUUGUUGGACUGCAAAACAGGCUAAUGUUACUUCUCAACUCCUUUCGGACCUACUUGUAGACGUAAGCGGCAUUAGACAUGCUGUACUUCAGAACAGAGCAGCUAUAGAUUUCUUGCUUCUGGACCAAGGACAUGGAUGUCAAGAUGUGUAG